AGGGAUAUAACUCAGCGGUAGAGUGUCACAUUGACGUGGUGGAAGUCAUCAAUUCGAGCCUGAUGAUCCCUA
Molecule: non-coding RNA, 72 nt
Organism: Solanum lycopersicum (tomato)
Lineage: Eukaryota; Viridiplantae; Streptophyta; Magnoliopsida; Solanales; Solanaceae
Source: Rfam